This 494-nucleotide ribosomal RNA is filed under the name uncultured bacterium. RNAcentral's name for it is "partial 16S ribosomal RNA". It matches the Rfam family "Bacterial small subunit ribosomal RNA", at positions 28 to 507 of the family's 1533-position model. The record is from RNAcentral.
GACGAACGCUGGCGGCGUGCUUAACACAUGCAAGUCGAACGGAAAGGCCUGCUUUCCCCUGUGGAUUGCGGGUACUCGAGUGGCGAACGGGUGAGUAACACGUGAGUGAUCUGCCCCCAACUUGGGUAUAAGCCUGGGAAACUGGGUCUAAUUCCCGAUAGGACUGCAGGGUGGUGCCUGUGGUGGAAAACGAUUUUCUAGUGGUUGGGGAUGAGCUCGCGGCCUAUCAGCUUGUUGGUGGGGUAAUGGCCUACCAAGGCGGCGACGGGUAGCCGGCCUGAGAGGGUGGACGGCCACAUUGGGACUGAGAUACGGCCCAGACUCCUACGGGAGGCAGCAGUGGGGAAUAUUGCACAAUGGGCGGAAGCCUGAUGCAGCGACGCCGCGUGGGGGAUGACGGCCUUCGGGUUGUAAACUCCUUUCGACCGCGAGGAAGCCACCUGGUUGGAAGGGUGGUGACGGUAGUGGUAGAAGAAGCACCGGCUAACUACGUG